RNAcentral lists this ribosomal RNA (275 nucleotides) under uncultured bacterium. RNAcentral's name for it is "partial 16S ribosomal RNA". It matches the Rfam family "Bacterial small subunit ribosomal RNA", at positions 399 to 691 of the family's 1533-position model. The record is from RNAcentral.
GCGUGAGCGAUGAAGGCCUUAGGGUUGUAAAGCUCUUUCACCAGGGAAGAUAAUGACGGUACCUGGAGAAGAAGCCCCGGCUAACUCCGUGCCAGCAGCCGCGGUAAUACGGAGGGGGCUAGCGUUGUUCGGAAUUACUGGGCGUAAAGCGCACGUAGGCGGAUAGUUAAGUCGGGGGUGAAAUCCCGGGGCUCAACCCCGGAACUGCCUUCGAUACUGGCUAUCUAGAGUUCGAGAGAGGUGAGUGGAAUUCCGAGUGUAGAGGUGAAAUUCGU